UACGAAGGGUGCAAGCGUUGCUCGGAAUUAUUGGGCGUAAAGCGCACGUAGGCGGCUUAGCAAGUCGGAUGUGAAAUCCCUCGGCUCAACCAAGGAAGUGCAUCCGAAACUGCUGCGCUUGAGUACGAAAGAGGAUCGCGGAAUUCCCGGUGUAGAGGUGAAAUUCGUAGAUAUCGGGAGGAACACCAGUGGCGAAGGCGGCGAUCUGGGUCGAUACUGACGCUGAGGUGCGAAAGCGUGGGGAGCAAACAGG
RNAcentral lists this ribosomal RNA (253 nucleotides) under uncultured bacterium. RNAcentral describes it as "partial 16S ribosomal RNA". It matches the Rfam family "Bacterial small subunit ribosomal RNA", at positions 524 to 776 of the family's 1533-position model. The record is from RNAcentral.